Molecule: ribosomal RNA, 490 nt
Filed under: uncultured bacterium
Lineage: Bacteria
Description: partial 16S ribosomal RNA
Rfam family: Bacterial small subunit ribosomal RNA
Source: RNAcentral
GAUGAACGCUAGCUACAGGCUUAACACAUGCAAGUCGCGGGGCAGCAUGGGGGUUGCUUGCAAUCCCCGAUGGCGACCGGCGCACGGGUGAGUAACGCGUAUCCAACCUGCCCUUCACCACGGGAUAACCCGGCGAAAGUCGGACUAAUACCGUAUGUUGUCCAUUGACGGCAUCCGAUUUGGACGAAAGGUUUGGCGGUGAAGGAUGGGGAUGCGUCCGAUUAGCUGGACGGCGGGGUGACGGCCCACCGUGGCGACGAUCGGUAGGGGUUCUGAGAGGAAGGUCCCCCACACUGGAACUGAGACACGGUCCAGACUCCUACGGGAGGCAGCAGUGAGGAAUAUUGGUCAAUGGGCGUAAGCCUGAACCAGCCAAGUAGCGUGCAGGAUGACGGCCCUAUGGGUUGUAAACUGCUUUUAUGCGGGGAAAAAGUGGCCCACGUGUGGGUUUUUGCAGGUACCGCAUGAAUAAGGACCGGCUAAUUCCGUG